UAUUAUAAUUGUCUCUGUAAACGUCGACACCGCCGUAGAAUACACGAAACCAAGGUCACCAAUCUAAAAAAUAAUACAAUUUUUAAGUUACCAAUUAUUAUCAUUUUUUGAUAUUUGAAAAUAUCUGAGUAAUCUCAGUGUAUGUCUGUCUGUAACGAAACACUUAAUAUUCGUGAAUAUUCAUUGUAAAAGAUUAUAAUGCCAUCAUAAUAAUUAGGUAACUAAAAAUUACAUUAAAGUAAAUAGGAAUUUUUGAUUUCAUGUCAUGUGAUCAUCAUGACACCGUGUUGGCGCAACGGUCACAGCCAUGGAUUGUAUCUGUUGCACUGGCGGUUGCGGGAAAUAUCUUAAAAUCAGAUAAGUCAAAACAAAA
This 373-nucleotide unclassified non-coding RNA is filed under the name Melitaea cinxia (Glanville fritillary). Its description in RNAcentral is "misc RNA ENSMCXG00005001240.1". The record is from RNAcentral. Lineage: Eukaryota; Metazoa; Arthropoda; Insecta; Lepidoptera; Nymphalidae.